This 484-nucleotide ribosomal RNA is filed under the name uncultured bacterium. Its description in RNAcentral is "partial 16S ribosomal RNA". It matches the Rfam family "Bacterial small subunit ribosomal RNA", at positions 30 to 507 of the family's 1533-position model. The record is from RNAcentral.
AUUGAACGCUAGCGGGAUGCUUUACACAUGCAAGUCGAACGGCAGCGCGGACUUCGGUCUGGCGGCGAGUGGCGAACGGGUGAGUAAUGUAUCGGAACGUGCCCAGUAGCGGGGGAUAACUACGCGAAAGCGUAGCUAAUACCGCAUACGCCCUACGGGGGAAAGGAGGGGAUCGUAAGACCUUGCACUAUUGGAGGGGCCGAUGACGGAUUCGCUAGUUGGUGAGGUAACGGCUCACCAAGGCGACGAUCCGUAGCUGGUUUGAGAGGACGACCAGCCACACUGGAACUGAGACACGGCCCAGACUCCUACGGGAGGCAGCAGUGGGGAAUUUUGGACAAUGGGCGCAACCCUGAUCCAGCCAUCCCGCGUGUGCGAUGAAGGCCUUCGGGUUGUAAAGCACUUUUGGCAGGAAAGAAACGUAGCGGGCUAAUACCCCGUUGAACUGACGGUACCUGCAGAAUAAGCACCGGCUAACUACGUG